This 511-nucleotide ribosomal RNA is filed under the name Oceanobacillus caeni. Its description in RNAcentral is "bacterial SSU rRNA". It matches the Rfam family "Bacterial small subunit ribosomal RNA", at positions 396 to 898 of the family's 1533-position model. The record is from RNAcentral. Lineage: Bacteria; Bacillati; Bacillota; Bacilli; Caryophanales; Bacillaceae.
GCCGCGUGAGUGAAGAAGGUUUUCGGAUCGUAAAACUCUGUUGUUAGGGAAGAACAAGUCAGGUAGUAACUGACCUGACCUUGACGGUACCUAACCAGAAAGCCACGGCUAACUACGUGCCAGCAGCCGCGGUAAUACGUAGGUGGCAAGCGUUGUCCGGAUUUAUUGGGCGUAAAGCGCUCGCAGGCGGUCUUUUAAGUCUGAUGUGAAAGCCCACGGCUUAACCGUGGAGGGUCAUUGGAAACUGGAGGACUUGAGUGCAGAAGAGGAGAGUGGAAUUCCAUGUGUAGCGGUGAAAUGCGUAGAGAUAUGGAGGAACACCAGUGGCGAAGGCGACUCUCUGGUCUGUAACUGACGCUGAGGAGCGAAAGCGUGGGUAGCGAACAGGAUUAGAUACCCUGGUAGUCCACGCCGUAAACGAUGAGUGCUAGGUGUUAGGGGGUUUCCGCCCCUUAGUGCUGAAGUUAACGCAUUAAGCACUCCGCCUGGGGAGUACGGCCGCAAGGCUGAA